RNAcentral lists this ribosomal RNA (497 nucleotides) under uncultured bacterium. RNAcentral describes it as "partial 16S ribosomal RNA". It matches the Rfam family "Bacterial small subunit ribosomal RNA", at positions 28 to 507 of the family's 1533-position model. The record is from RNAcentral.
GAUGAACGCUGGCGGCGUGCCUAAUACAUGCAAGUCGAGCGAACAGACGAGGAGCUUGCUCCUCUGACGUUAGCGGCGGACGGGUGAGUAACACGUGGAUAACCUACCUAUAAGACUGGGAUAACUUCGGGAAACCGGAGCUAAUACCGGAGAAUAUAUUGAACCGCAUGGUUCAAUAGUGAAAGACGGUUUUGCUGUCACUUAUACAUGGAUCCGCGCCGCAUUAGCUAGUUGGUAAGGUAACGGCUUACCAAGGCGACGAUGCGUAGCCGACCUGAGAGGGUGAUCGGCCACACUGGAACUGAGACACGGUCCAGACUCCUACGGGAGGCAGCAGUAGGGAAUCUUCCGCAAUGGGCGAAAGCCUGACGGAGCAACGCCGCGUGAGUGAUGAAGGUCUUCGGAUCGUAAAACUCUGUUAUUAGGGAAGAACAAAUGUGUAAGUAACUAUGCACGUCUUGACGGUACCUAAUCAGAAAGCCACGGCUAACUACGUG